Molecule: non-coding RNA, 23 nt
Filed under: Cricetulus griseus (Chinese hamster)
Lineage: Eukaryota; Metazoa; Chordata; Mammalia; Rodentia; Cricetidae
Source: RNAcentral
AACAAAAAAAACAAGAGCUCUGG